This 381-nucleotide ribosomal RNA is filed under the name uncultured eukaryote. RNAcentral's name for it is "partial 18S ribosomal RNA". It matches the Rfam family "Eukaryotic small subunit ribosomal RNA", at positions 592 to 975 of the family's 1831-position model. The record is from RNAcentral.
CAAUAGCGUAUAUUAAAGUUGUUGCAGUUAAAAAGCUCGUAGUUGGACUUCUGCGGGUGGCGGCCGGUCGUGCUCGAAACGGGCGUGAACUUGGCGUGCUGCCCGCAUCUUUGGGGAGAUUGUGCGUGGCAUUAAGUUGUCGUGCAUGGGAUUCUCAUCAUUUACUGUGAAAAAAUUAGAGUGUUUAAAGCAGGCCUUUGCCUUGAAUACAUUAGCAUGGAAUAAUAAGAUAGGACCGUUGUCUAUUUUGUUGGUUUACAGAUGUCGGUAAUGAUUAAUAGGGAUAGUUGGGGGUAUUCGUAUUCAGUUGUCAGAGGUGAAAUUCUUGGAUUUUCGGAAGACGCACGACUGCGAAAGCAUUUACCAAGGAUGCUUUCAUUA